UUUGCUAAAGCCAAAUUUAGAGGCCUUCCUUUGUUAAAGGAAGAAGUGGUUAAAACCUAGUAUUC
Molecule: transfer RNA, 65 nt
Filed under: Microthoracius praelongiceps
Lineage: Eukaryota; Metazoa; Arthropoda; Insecta; Psocodea; Microthoraciidae
Description: tRNA-Asn
Source: RNAcentral